This 468-nucleotide ribosomal RNA is filed under the name uncultured bacterium. RNAcentral describes it as "partial 16S ribosomal RNA". It matches the Rfam family "Bacterial small subunit ribosomal RNA", at positions 28 to 507 of the family's 1533-position model. The record is from RNAcentral.
GACGAACGCUGGCGGCGUGCUUAACACAUGCAAGUCGAACGGAAAGGCCCUGCUUUUGUGGGGUGCUCGAGUGGCGAACGGGUGAGUAACACGUGAGUAACCUGCCCUUGACUUUGGGAUAACUUCAGGAAACUGGGGCUAAUACCGGAUAGGAGCUCCUGCUGCAUGGUGGGGGUUGGAAAGUUUCGGCGGUUGGGGAUGGACUCGCGGCUUAUCAGCUUGUUGGUGGGGUAGUGGCUUACCAAGGCUUUGACGGGUAGCCGGCCUGAGAGGGUGACCGGCCACCUUGGGACUGAGAUACGGCCCAGACUCCUACGGGACGCAGCAGUGGGGAAUAUUGCACAAUGGGCGGACGCCUGAUGCAGCAACGCCGCGUGCGGGAUGACGGCCUUCGGGUUGUAAACCGCUUUCGCCUGUGACGAAGCGUGAGUGACGGUAAUGGGUAAAGAAGCACCGGCUAACUACGUG